AUGGGCACGUCCCACCGCCGGCCGGCCUCCGUGCUCCGGCCACCGACGCGUCCUCGUCGGCGUCCUCGCCCCUGCCUCCAACUCCAAGCCGCGCCGACCGUCCUCCUCCACACCGAGCUCCGGCCAUCAGGUUAAUUAGUAGGGGCUGGACGAGGAUUCAGAGGAGGAGAAGGUGAGCAGUGCCAUAAAGAUCAACUCCCGCACACCACAUGUUCGAUGAAAUGCCCAGCAAGGAGCCGCCCAUCCAUGUUGAAAAAGUCACCAUCUAAAAGGUUAUCCGACAAGGUAUAGUAUCGUGAAUCUGGUCGAUGAUGAUGGAUCUUAUGGAUGUGAGCAAUGUCCCAAAUGACAUCGAUGAGGAGGAACCACUUCUAUUUGAAUUUCAUAAGCUUGAUGCUUUGGAAGCUGAUAUGGACUUCAAAUAAAACUCAGUCCAUCAUACCUCCAACCAGACAAGGAGACUGAUCUUUAACUAACCUGCUACACCAAGUGGUCAUGCAGCAGUCCUGGCAAACCGGCAGCAGAGUGCUUGAAGCUAUAAGCAGGUGUCUUUUAUCUUGUCACAUUAUCUAAUUUACAGGAGGAUGAACUGGGACUGUCUACAGUGCCACACGCAUCAAUUCGUACCUGAAAACUAACCAAGAAAACUACGGUAUAGGUUUGAUCUCGUUGUAAAUAGUCGACACUUUCUUUAUGCACAUACAAAUUCAUUGUAUCUUUCCUCAUAUAUACCACUGCAAUUUGUUGAACGAUGAAAUGUCUCUUCCCCAUUGUGUUGGAAUAACAGUGAGUGAUAAAGGGAGUGUUCUCUA
Long non-coding RNA from Triticum dicoccoides, 812 nucleotides. RefSeq lists it as uncharacterized. NCBI's taxonomy places the organism in Eukaryota, Viridiplantae, Streptophyta, Magnoliopsida, Poales, Poaceae. The transcript is spliced from 5 exons. The record is from RefSeq and is a predicted model, not a curated record.